AACAGGAUUAGAUACCCUGGUAGUCCACGCCCUAAACGAUGUCUACUAGUUGUUGGGUCUUAAUUGACUUAGUAACGCAGCUAACGCGUGAAGUAGACCGCCUGGGGAGUACGGUCGCAAGAUUAAAACUCAAAGGAAUUGACGGGGACCCGCACAAGCGGUGGAUGAUGUGGAUUAAUUCGAUGCAACGCGAAAAACCUUACCUACCCUUGACAUGUACGGAAUCCCUGAGAGAUUAGGGAGUGCUCGAAAGAGAACCGUAACACAGGUGCUGCAUGGCUGUCGUCAGCUCGUGUCGUGAGAUGUUGGGUUAAGUCCCGCAACGAGCGCAACCCUUGUCAUUAGUUGCUACGAAAGGGCACUCUAAUGAGACUGCCGGUGACAAACCGGAGGAAGGUGGGGAUGACGUCAAGUCCUCAUGGCCCUCAUGGGUAGGGCUUCACACGUCAUACAAUGGUACAUACAGAGGGCCGCCAACCCGCGAGGGGGAGCUAAUCCCAGAAAGUGUAUCGUAGUCCGGAUUGUAGUCUGCAACUCGACUACAUGAAGUUGGAAUCGCUAGUAAUCGCGGAUCAGCAUGUCGCGGUGAAUACGUUCCCGGGUCUUGUACACACCGCCCGUCACACCAUGGGAGCGGGUUUCACCAGAAGUAGGUAGCCUAACCGUAAGGAGGGCGCUUACCACGGUGGGAUUCGUGACUGGGGUGAAGUCGUAACAAGGUAACC
Molecule: ribosomal RNA, 725 nt
Filed under: uncultured bacterium
Lineage: Bacteria
Description: bacterial SSU rRNA
Rfam family: Bacterial small subunit ribosomal RNA
Source: RNAcentral